GGAGACGUAUCGAAGCGGUCAUAACGAGAACGACUGGAAAUCGUUUGGUCGAGACAUCGGCCCGCGAGUUCGAAUCUCGCCGUCUCCG
This 88-nucleotide transfer RNA is filed under the name Clostridiales bacterium. RNAcentral's name for it is "tRNA-Ser". It matches the Rfam family "tRNA". From Rfam's summary of the family: Transfer RNA (tRNA) molecules are approximately 80 nucleotides in length. Their secondary structure includes four short double-helical elements and three loops (D, anti-codon, and T loops). The record is from RNAcentral. Lineage: Bacteria; Bacillati; Bacillota; Clostridia; Eubacteriales.